ACAGGUACAGAGUCAAUGUGGAGGCUAUAUACAGGGGUACCGGUACAGAGUCAAUGUGGAGGCUAUAUACAGGGGUACUGGUACAGAGUCAAUGUGGAGGCUAUAUACAGGGGUACUGGUACAGAGUCAAUGUGGAGGCUAUAUACAGGGGUACUGGUACAGAGUCAAUGUGGAGGCUAUAUACAGGGGUACCGGUACAGAGUCAAUGUGGAGGCUAUAUACAGGGGUACUGGUACAGAGUCAAUGUGGAGGCUAUAUACAGGGGUACUGGUACAGAGUCAAUGUGGAGGCUAUAUACAGGGGGUACCGGUACAGAGUCAAUGUGGAGGCUAUAUACAGGGGGUACCGGUACAGAGUCAAUGUGGAGGCUAUAUACAGGGGGUACCGGUACAGAGUCAAUGUGGAGGCUAUAUACAGUGG
Molecule: long non-coding RNA, 420 nt
Organism: Oncorhynchus tshawytscha (Chinook salmon)
Lineage: Eukaryota; Metazoa; Chordata; Actinopteri; Salmoniformes; Salmonidae
Source: Ensembl